This 415-nucleotide ribosomal RNA is filed under the name uncultured bacterium. RNAcentral's name for it is "bacterial SSU rRNA". It matches the Rfam family "Bacterial small subunit ribosomal RNA", at positions 360 to 773 of the family's 1533-position model. The record is from RNAcentral.
AAUAUUGGUCAAUGGAUGCAAGUCUGAACCAGCCAUGCCGCGUGCAGGAAGAAGGCCUUCUGGGUUGUAAACUGCUUUUGCCAGGGGAUAAAACGAGCAUGCGUGCUUAAUUGAAGGUACCUGGUGAAUAAGCCACGGCUAACUACGUGCCAGCAGCCGCGGUAAUACGUAGGUGGCGAGCGUUGUCCGGAUUUAUUGGGUUUAGAGGGUGCGUAGGCGGCUCUAUAAGUCAGUGCUGAAAUAUCCCGGCUUAACCGGGAGGGUGGCAUUGAUACUGCAGAGCUUGAGUAAAGUUGAGGUGGGCGGAAUUGACGGUGUAGCGGUGAAAUGCUUAGAUAUCGUCAAGAACACCGAUUGCGAAGGCAGCUCACUAAGCUUUAACUGACGCUGAGGCACGAAAGUGUGGGGAUCAAAC